CCUCGGGAAUGGGCGUAACCUAGGUUCCCUUUGGUGCGAGGACAUUUUACCAUCAGUUCAUUCCUGCAGGGAAGGAAUUUAAGCGGGGGUUAGUCCACCUAAAUGGCCUUCAGUCUUUUGAAGAUUUUUAGACUAUGGCAGACUCGAGACAGGGAUACAUAAUGUAGUUAGUGUCGGUUAGAACCAGCCGCCCACCCGGGUAGCCCAGUUGGUUAGAGCGCCAUGCUAGUGUUCCGGCGGUCGUGGGUUCGAGCCCCACACCGGGCGCACUUUUCCUCCCAGGAGAUAAACAGAAACACAGAGGUGCUAUACUUUCUGAUGGAAAAGACAACAAAAGCAUCUCCCAUCAUUUUGGCGUGGCUCAGAUCAAGAGGAGAAAUUUAAAAAAGGUGAUGAUUGGGCACAAACAAGAAGACAUAGAUCACAGGCGUAUAGCAUAUGAGUAGACAGGAGUUUCACACUCUGCCAGACUUACUUCCUCAGACAAGCAGAUUUAGGCUUCUCAAGAUCACGCACUGCACACUAAGACAUAGUCUUUGACUACAACAAGGCCUUAGGGGAUGAAAGUACAGAGAGGUCCAAUUGAAAUCAAUUCUGUGCUGCGUCAUUUCUUUAUUCUAGAGGUUGAUGGACAUGAUUUAUGGCAUCAAGUGUGCAGUUUGUCAACUAACUAUCAACACAGCAGCCUUGUUCACCAGCUGCUCAACUUGAGCUUUUAGCUUUAUUGCUUGAAGCCACUGUAUAAGAGGAGGGAAGGUGCAGACUCAUCAAAAAGUCUCAAGGUUGAAACUAGGAAGAGAAGUUUGUCAAGAGUGUGAAUAUUUGCUUUGAAAACAAUUGUUACAAUGAUUUGGUUUCCUUUGAAACUUGAUACAUACUAUGUGUAUGUUGAAUGAAUUGAGAUGCUUAAAUAAAGAACCACUAUUCAAAUAUCAGGAAACUGCAUUUUUCAUACUAAAUUGGUAAAUGAUGUCACCAUUUCCUGUAUGUAUUUAGAUAAGAUAUGUUUCCACAAUUAAUAUUUUUAGGGACUAUUUCUCAACGUAAUGAAAUAGAUUAAAUUUGUACAGCGUUAUAUGAGCUUAAUAUGUGUUUUCUGUUUCCUUAAAAUUGAUGAAAAAUUGUCAGAAGGUAAUGAGACCAGUAUCCAUUACUGCAAUCAUACAAUAAAAAAUACAGGGACAAGCCCACUGC
Long non-coding RNA from Mya arenaria, 1194 nucleotides. RefSeq lists it as uncharacterized. The record is from RefSeq and is a predicted model, not a curated record. The transcript has 3 exons. NCBI's taxonomy places the organism in Eukaryota, Metazoa, Mollusca, Bivalvia, Myida, Myidae.